AUACACUGCUCAGACACCGCUUAGUAGAAAAAUUCUGCUUCCUGGAUGUAUCACCAGGCGCACACAGCUUUCCCACUAUCUUGAAGAUGGGAGGGGGGAAGGAGCGCAUUCCAAAGCCCAAGGUACAUGUCAAUGAGGGGGCUGCCGAGCUGCGCUGUUAGAUGAUUUCUUAAGUCAGCCUGAUGAAAAAGAAGUGUAAGAUUAACCCAUUGAAUGCUUGCUAUUGCUUCCCAGUAACCAAUAAAAAUGUAUCACAUUUAGUCACCUCCCAUCGGGAGGGGGGGAGAGGGUAUAUUCUGUGUGAACACUUACAAUUAA
This is a long non-coding RNA of Bufo bufo (common toad), 318 nucleotides long. RefSeq lists it as uncharacterized. The record is from RefSeq and is a predicted model, not a curated record. The transcript is spliced from 3 exons. Lineage: Eukaryota; Metazoa; Chordata; Amphibia; Anura; Bufonidae.